This is a long non-coding RNA of Daphnia carinata, 3349 nucleotides long. RefSeq lists it as uncharacterized. Lineage: Eukaryota; Metazoa; Arthropoda; Branchiopoda; Diplostraca; Daphniidae. The record is from RefSeq and is a predicted model, not a curated record. The transcript is spliced from 15 exons.
UUUUGUUUUUUUAAUUGGUGGCUGCUUACAAGCCAGUAAAUAACCUCAAUCCGGUCUUUUCGUGUCUGAGGUUUAGAACAUAAUCUAUAAUCGAUUUUAGUUAAUGACGGACAAUCCGAAAAGGCUUGGGCUUACGUCUCGUACUUAAAGGGAAAAAAAAAGAGAGAAAAUUUUAAGUCAGUUCAUUAGCCAAACGAAGAGGUGUUAAAAAGCUGUUACUGAAAACGCCGAAAGGGUUGUGAUAGAAACCAGGAGAAUAUUGAAAGUUGUGAAACUCGAAGAGCUUGUAAAUCCAGCAGUUUCUGGUGCUGGUGUUUUGCUAGCAACUUCAUCGCAAGGCAAGGGAUUUAACUGGACAUGGAGUUGGCUUUGAUUUUACCAGUCAAAGUGUGCUCAGUGAUGUUGCCUUUAAUAUCAAAACCGUCGCCACCACCGGCCAAAAAGCUAGGCAUCGCCACGUCAUAGAUUUCCUAAUGUUAACCUUGGGCUGGACCGGGCUGUAGGCUGGAAUACGACAAUUGUUACAUCGUGCCAACAGUUCUACUACUCUAUCGCCUGUAGGUCUAGCAAUGUCGUACGAAACUUGGAGACCUGUGGAUCAUUGCUCCAUAGCAAAACCUUAAAAGAAUUCGUGACUAAAAAAAACCAUUUACCAGAAACCUGCAGAAAUCCACCGAAGGGAUCCAGAGCUGAUGGGUCGUAAUCAUGCACCGUAAACUCGAAAAUAUUCUUCAACGUUUCACCACUGAUUUUUACUAUGUCCACUGUAUUGCUGAAAGGUGCGACUGAAAGAAGAUCACCGUACGUGAUGGAUCCUACAAGACACAAUCCCAUUGUAUAUUUAGAAAAGUGCUUCGGAUUAAAUGAAUUCACCAUUUUGGGAUCGUUCGUCGAUGGAUGCCCUGACUCCACCGCCAUUGACGAGAGCGAUAGCCACUUUACUCCAUUGACCCUCGCCUGCAAAUUUGCAUACCAAAUCAACGUAGGCAUCAGCAAUGAAAUUUCCAAGAUUGCAUUCAACCAUACGACAGGCCAGACGAUUACCAUCUAAGAAGACGAGCGUUUUUCCAACUUCUUUCUCUGACAAAGCUUCGACUUCUUUUCGAAAUGGGAUCAGUUCCUGCAGGACGUGUGGAUCUGCAUCGUAAAGUUAACGAUGACGAACGCACUAUUUUUUACGACAAAUAGAAUUUAUAACUACAAUAGUACCUCGAGGUAUGCUCUUAUCCAGGAGAAUCGGGAGGCCAGCAGUGGCGAUCACAUCUCCUUCGUCGUUAAAAGUCACCAUCAAGUUGCCCAGAUAUUUACCGAAGGCAAAUGCCUGUACGACGGGCACUUCCUUACCAGAUGGUUGCUUUACCAUAGUGGGAUAUGGACCUUGAGGAAUUUCGAUUGACGGAGCUGGACCUGUACGUUAAGUGGAUUCGAGUACAUUAACAGCUUACCGUUCCAGAGAAAUGUAUUGGUGUGACCGCCUACCACCACGUCGAUAUCUGGCACCUGUUCAGCGAUUUCCAUAUCUUUGAGAUAACCCGCGUGACCGACUGCAAUUAGAAUAUUGACUCCAUCAUUUUUAAGACGCGCUGCUUCCUCUCGAACGCCUUGGACUUCGUCAAACACUUUAACCCCGUCCAAGAUCAUCAUCUUGUUAGGGAGAAGUUUCUUACCGAUGUUUCAACCGUCAGAAAACCAAUGAUGCCUACCCUGCGUCCACCUACUUCGACGACUACUGAUUUCGGAAUUUUACCGUGAAGCGAAGAGUUCCAGGAAGGAAGUUCAGUCAGAGUUUGCAAUUUAAAGAAGGGAUAUUUUUACCGGGUGAUUGGCUGCAUUCACGAACGGUGCCAGCCCCGCCACGCCAUCAUCGAAUUCGUGGUUGCCAAGAGACUAUUUGGCAUAAAGGGACGAGAAAAGAAAAACUAUGUGCUGCCAGGCUUUCCGACGGAUGUUUACAAACAGGGCGUUUCCCCGUUCGUCAUUGUUUAAACCAGGAAAACGCGCUACAUCAAUAAUUAAGAAACAAAUUGAUCAACGUGAGUGUUAACACACGGGCCGUUAACGCGCUGCAACGUGGGCGGGAAAAAUGUCGGUGAUGAUCACGCAGAAAACGCUGUUUCUUUCUUCGUUAAAAAGCAGAUAACAAGGAUUCUAACAACUCACAUUGUGCAAAUCACUGGAAUAGAAAGUGGUAGUUAAGAAGAAUGACGGACGUUUUCCAUUGUCCUUUUCAACAUAGUCUACCUAGAUAAACCUAAUAACGACAGUGACUAGAGAAGGAAAAGGAUUGUUUGGCUUCUUAGCCAAACUACUUUGCUACAGAACCAUCUGUCUUUAGAAAGCGAAACGAAGGGGGGAAACGUAAAUAACUCACUGUGGCCGUUAAGUUGAGCAGGUUACCAAAGUGGCUGACGGCCUUCCAUUUGUGGAUGGUGUACCAGCUGGCGGCGACGACCAAAUGCGUUUUCAGAAAAAGUAGUGCCAAUCAGAAGUAGCAAAGCAGGCAAGGCUAUGUAAAAAUUGCACAGGAUUUGUUCUCACAUGGUGCCUUGGAAGAAAUCACCGCCAUUCAAAAAUAUGGUGUCCGGAUGCUGCUCACGAAUUUUUCGCGAUUGGUGGACCAGACGGGCAUACCCACCGAAGCAUUUACCAUUCUCCGAGUCUCGGUGUUUGCACGCCCCGCCGAGUUGGUUGGCCUCCUCGAAACGGCAAUGGAUGUCGUUCGUGUGUAAGAUAGUCAAAUUAAACGAAGCCGAUGCCUGCGCGACAACGACAGAUGCACAAAACAGACCCAACAGCUGAAACCACAUGAGGACGAUAUUACGUGUCGAACAGUCCCGUAUAUUCUACACGACUGUGGACAAAUUGAAAUGCUCAGCGCUAUAAUGCACGCAAAGCUGGGAAAAGGCGUCGCCACAAGCUGUCUACGAUUUUUCGGAGAUUAAUGCCGAAGGAUGUAACCAACAAGAGUCAUGAAGAGUGAAUGAAUUUCUCUUGUCAUUUGAUAGCACCCGCCUCAUGGAUUUUGCUAACGAAAGCGCGCGUUGUGGGAUAGCCUGUAGUUCUCGUUGACGCCGGACUUUGUAACUGCAGUAUUAUAGUGAUGCCCUCUCACGUGUUAUGGUUUCAUGGUGAAAUUCUACAGCUUACCAUUGAAGAUAUCCUGCAACCGUAUUUGUUUUUGAAAUAGGAGAUAGAAAGAGAUAUUGCACUUUCGAGAAAGCUAUCUACCCGGUGUGUCAGUUGAGGAAAUGUCUCUCUCUACCGAGGUUUACGCAAAAAAUCUCCAGCGAUACAAAGUUCCAUAAUAAUUUUGUUAUGUUUGAUCUCUCGAUAAAUGAUUCUAACUAUU